GACAGACAAGGGUAAAACUUAAUGCCCCCUCAACUGCGGCAGGGGCAAUAAAAAAAUUCAGAGCAGAAAUAAUUAUGAGGACAAGAUUCACAAAAUAAUCACCAAAACAAAAUCUUCAGAUAUUUUUUUUAAUAUUCAAAAGAAAAUGUUUGGUUUUUUUGGGGGGAAAACUCAGAAGUACUCCAUUUAAAUGUUAUUGCCACUGAAUGUUAAUCAAACAAGUAACCAUGGUAACUACAUGUAGUAUGUUAAUUUGGAUACUGUUUUGUGUAUCAUACUUUGAUAUUUUUAUAUUUUACAUCAGAUUUUAGUAAAUUUAAUUCUAAGUAAUUAAUGAGUAGUUUCUAGUCAUGCAUCAGUGGUUUUAUUUAUUGUAAGACUUCUUUCUUCAUGGCUCAGUGAAUUUUGAUCCAUUGAGUAUUAGUUUACUCUCUAGGUUUAACUAGUUUGUGCUAUGAAAACUCUAUCUCCUUUAUGAUAAUUGGUUCAUUAAGUCAUGUGUCGAUUUAGGAGGGAAAUUCUUUUGUUUAGUCAGACUUUACUUAUAUUUUGAACUGAUUGGAGCUGUGCUGUUCCUUAUAUAAUUUUAUUCAAAUUUGAUGGACAUCUUUGAUUUUUUUUCAAAUAAGGAAAUUUGUAUUAGUAAAUGAAUCAAAUGAAGAAUCUUCAUGGUUAAUGCAUAGAAAGGAUAUUUGAAGAGAGCCAAUGAUUGACAUAAGGAGAAGCAGUUAUGAAUUUUGAAAUUGAUAUAAAGGAGAGGUCAUUCAUCACAGAAGAUUUAAUCCAAGUUUACAGUAUGUUGAGAGAAGUUCAGAACAAGCAAUUUGGUUGAAGAGGAGUUGUCAACACGUCAUCUUUGAAUAAGGUCAAUUGUAUUAGAAGUGAAUCCUUAACAGAAAUGAGACAAUAAUCAAACAAUUCAAAGACUACAUGGAUGUUAUCUGGACUAGCAUUUGUAUGACCUAAAUGUGGUAUUUUUCAUAUGAACACUUACAAGGCAGAUACUAGUCUGUGACAAACAUUUGUAUGCAAUUAAAGACUGAAGAACUAAUGUACGGUAUUCUUCAGAUUUCAGUAGAAUUUGUUUAAAACAGUACAUUCUUGGUAUGAAUUGAAGAAUUUUUGCUCAUUUAAAUGAAUUAUGAAAAUGUUUUAUAUGUUUAGAAUAAA
Molecule: long non-coding RNA, 1170 nt
Organism: Mytilus californianus (California mussel)
Lineage: Eukaryota; Metazoa; Mollusca; Bivalvia; Mytilida; Mytilidae
Exons: 3
Source: RefSeq, a predicted model, not a curated record